GCGAGGGUAGUUCAGUGGCAGAACGCGCGCCUGUGGAGCGCGAUGUCGCGGGUUCGAAUCCCGUCCCUCGCC
This 72-nucleotide transfer RNA is filed under the name Chloroflexota bacterium. RNAcentral describes it as "Chloroflexi bacterium (cold seep metagenome) tRNA-His". It matches the Rfam family "tRNA". From Rfam's summary of the family: Transfer RNA (tRNA) molecules are approximately 80 nucleotides in length. Their secondary structure includes four short double-helical elements and three loops (D, anti-codon, and T loops). RNAcentral also lists the same sequence under 2 other names. Lineage: Bacteria; Bacillati; Chloroflexota. The record is from RNAcentral.